CAGAGUUGCAAAACUCCCACAAACCAUCGCGAAUCUUACCCGUACGGUUGCCUCGGCGCUGGCGGUCCGGAAGGCCCUCGGGCCCCCCGGAUCCUCGGGUCUCCCGCUCGCGGGAGGCUGCCCGCCGGAGUGCCGAAAUCAAACUCUUGAUAUUUUAUGUCUCUCUGAGUAAACUUUUAAAUAAGUCA
Molecule: unclassified non-coding RNA, 188 nt
Filed under: soil metagenome
Description: partial internal transcribed spacer 1
Source: RNAcentral